This 284-nucleotide long non-coding RNA is filed under the name Trifolium pratense (red clover). RNAcentral describes it as "long non-coding RNA (TPRA_LNC009725)". Lineage: Eukaryota; Viridiplantae; Streptophyta; Magnoliopsida; Fabales; Fabaceae. The record is from RNAcentral.
CGAUUUUGAUGGAUUCUUCUAUGGAAUGGAUUUUGAGAGACUUUUUAGUUGAAAAUACACUUGAUAGACUUUUUCAAUAAUCUCACCAAAAGCCUUGAGACUUUUUUGAAAUCUCCAAGACUUUUUAUUUUUAUCAUCACUGUAUCAAAUUUUUUUUUCUUUAUUUUUUCAUAGUUCAUCAUCACUGCACUCCUUCUUAUUUUCUUUGUUCACUUGUUCAAGAAUCUCACCAAAAGACUUGAGACUUUUUCAAACUCUCCAAGAUUUUUUACUUUCAUCAUCAU